GUUCCCAGGUUCAGCCCAGGACAGCCAGGCUAGGUGCACGCCAACCCUGGGGACAGGCCAGCGAGUCUGAGCUGUUGCAGUUUGGGGCAGGUGCCUUCCAGGCUGUGUGAGUCAGGGUCCGCUCCUGGCCCUUCUGAGGGUGCCACCCUGGCCUCCCCACCUUUGAGCAGGUCAGGGGGUGGGUCUGGGCUCCAUAGGGCUGGUCAGGAGGAGGCAGCUGUGAGAUCCCAGACAGAGCCAGGAGAAGAGCAGAACAGAUGACAGGCAGGCGUGCUGCAUCGGGCUGGGACUGUGGGGUGUCGGCGGACAGGGGUGGAGCAGGGUCUUGGGCGUUCCUCACUUAUUGCCUGAGUGUCAUGAGGGGCCUGGCCUUGGCUGGUGUUUCUGUCCCUUGAGGGCGUGGUGUCUGAGGGCAGGGCUUAUGGCCCUGCCCUGUGUGCUGCUCUGGGGGCCUGGAGGCCUGUGUCCCCACCCCAGCCUGCCUUUGCCCUCCUGUACCUCUGGCCUGUGUCUUGCCCCUUUGAGUACCUGCCUGGAAAGCACUGGAGUUGGGGGCAGAUCCUGCCUUGAGUGACCACCACGUGCCCAGCAGCGAGCAGCAGAGGAUCUCCAGGAGUGUGGCAGGGUCCCCUCCUGAAACUGACAGGAAAUCCGCAUCACCUUCAACUGGAAGAAGAAAUGAAAAUACCAUCUGUGCCUCGAAAUCUUUCUGUUUCUAGACAGGGACAUCCCAGGCACUUGGUGGUGGGGCCAGGGCUCCUGCUUGCCGUAGGAGGGCUGUUGGCCUGCAGGCCAGGCUCCUGCCUGCCACCACUCCGCACCCUCUGUGCUGGCGGCAUCAGGGACGGUCUGGGAAGACGCAGACUGGACGUGUGGCUUGGAUGGGCCAGCAGGGGAGAGGGGCAGCGUAGGGUCCUGAGUCUGGGGGCAGGAGCAGACUGUGUUAGCAAGCAUGGGUGAGGACCUUGGUUCCCCCACCUGCUGGCUGUCAUCGGGGCUGGGACGAGGUCAGGUCUGUGACAGGGCGUGGCACCAAGUCCAAGCAGGUAGGAGGAUUUGAGGACCUGUGAAGCUAGAAGGUCAAGCAGGGAAUUCAGGGUUGGGACACCCUCCUGGGAUCAGCAGGCGUUCGCCCUUCAUUGCUCCGCUGGUAGCACCAGCCUUCUCAGACAAAGGCUUCUUUGGCAGGGCCUGGGAACCCCCUGGAGGGAUCAGGGCGACCAGCUUCGUUGCUGAGCCCCACCAGGACAUCACACCUCAGGAAGAGGCUGUCCUUGGUUCUCCUGGUGGGGAAGGGGAGCUGUGAACAAGGCUUCCCCCAAGGUGAGGCUGGGGCUGGGCAGUGGAGACUGGAGGCAGAGAGGACCUACCCAGGCUUUGCGGCGCGUGGGUGGCAAGCCUUCUAGAACCUGUGUGUGCUAGCGUCAGAGGGGACCCUCAGGCUGGGCUGGGAGGGGCCCCACCUUGACUGUGGUGAUGAGAGGCAGGAUGUGGGGCCCAGGGGGUGACUCUGCCUUGGAAGUGCUGCUCAUGAGGGAUGGGGCUUCCUAUAGCAGGCCCUUAGCCAGCGGAGCCGCAGGGUAGGGGAGAGGCAGGGGCAGUGUGACUUGGGAAGUCAAGGCAAGAAAUGGCUAAAGGAGAAGCGGGUGUCUCAGUGGCUGGGCCCAAAGGCCCCCAUCCUGCCAUCCUGUGGCAGCAGCUUGAGGGGGGCCCAACCUCUUAUGUCUGCCCUCCCACGCCCUCCAGCCUCUGGGGCCCUGGGGCGGCAUAUAGGCUGCAGGGGUUGGGGGCUGCCUCUGUUGUAGUGGCUGCAAGGCUGGUGGAACAGGAAGGUGUGUUGUUGGCUUCUCCUGGACCACACCCCCUGAGGAUGACACCUCCCAACACGAGGGAGAGCGCUGCGCUUCUCAGUGCGUUCCACAUCUCAGGCUUCAUUGUCUCCAGCCUGGCCUUCUUGGCCACGCCACGUGAGGCUCCCUCAGUGUGGAGGCUUCUUCCUGCACUUUCUGGGACCUUUAUUUCUGAAGGCGGGAGGCAGGCCUCGAACCCCAGGUGCACUUGCUGGUGGAGGAAAGUGGAAAACACACAGGCUUUGUGGGAAGACAGGACGCCAUUCCUCCUCCCGUGGAUUGCCUGUGGAGCUGGGACAGGAAGCUUGCUACUCUUGUCAGAACGACUGCGGAGGGUGACUGGAGGGUGAUGCCUGGAAGAGGGAGCAGUACACAGGAGCACAGGCGCCCCUCUUCAUCUUGGUUUGCACUAAAGGGGCGGCAGAACCCAGAGGGCCUGGCUAUGUCAGCCCAGCCUCCAGUGCCUUCCGAAAGGAAAAAACCAUGCGUGGUACAUAGGCACACGCGCACGCCGCACCACGUACUUUUUAUUGAAGUAUACAUGUGCUACAGACCAUUUAAGUACAGAAAAGCUAAAAGAAGAAAUUAAGUGGCACCCACAGUUUUCCUUCCCAGACAGGACUGUCGCUUGGCCCUGUUCUCACUGAAAACCUGCCAACAUGGAGCCCAGGAAGCCCCUCCUGGUAGCCAAGGGUGUGGCCCUGUAGUCACGGCAGCCUGCCUGCUCUCGCCACCGAUGUCCGCAUUUUUUAGACCCUGGAGUCCUGACUGCAUCUCAGGCCACAGUGCCUUGGGCUCCAGCGGGGUGUCUCGGUGCUGGCAUUGUAGAGUUGAAGCACCACCCCGGGGCCGUGGCGGAGGCCCAGUGUGCUGCUGUAACAGAAAUACUGGAGAUGGGUGGCAAAUAAACAACAAGUUUAUUUUCAUAGUUCUGGAGGCUGGAAGUCCAAGAUGAAGGUGCUGGCAGAUUCUGUAUCUGGUGAGGAACCACUUCCUGGUUCGUAGACAGCUGUUUUCUUACUAUAACGUCGCAUGGUAGAGGGGACGACGGGAUUCUCUGGGGUCUCCUUUCUAAGGGUACUAAUCCCAUAAGGAGGGCCCCGUCCUCAUGACCUUAUCACAUUCCCAAGGCCCCACUUCCUAAGGCCACCCGUCACCCCGGGAGUUAGGGCCGCAGGGUGCGGGUUUCAGGAGGCACGGACAUUCAGCCUAUCGUGCUCAGCGUUCUUGCCUGACCACGGAGUGCAGAUGGCGAGGUGCGGUGGGGUACGGUAUCCUCUGCAGGCCUACUCCCCCCAUUCAUGGCAGCUUUUUUGCCCCUUAACUUUGUAGGGCCACAGGCUGUGACUGUCACUUCAUCUGGGGGAAUCCCAGGACCCAGGGCAAUGCUGCUGCCCAUUUAGGGAGGGGAGGCUGACGCUGCUUUCCCUGUGAGCCACCUGUGCAGAUUAUGACGUGUUUCCCCAGAGCCUGGGAUGGACUGACACUGGCGGGCCGUGUGAGAGGCAGGUGCCCUGUCAGGCGGCAGUGGUACAGCAGCGCUUUCCUCGAUGGAACGGCCACCGUGCCGAGGACCUGGGGAUCCGGAGGGCGCUUGCCUCAUUCUGCACUGACUCUCAACGUGAGUCUCUGGGACCCAGUCUGCUCCAGCUGGUGCCAGCCUGUGGUUAGCCACCUUGCCUCUGAUACUUCACUGUCCUGGCUACAUGAGUGCAAGGGCAGUGCUCUGCUCUUAGUGCCUAGCAUGCAGUGGGGAGGAAGUAGGCUGGUGUCUGCAGGAGAAGUCCUCCGGGCCCAUGUGAGGUCGGUAUGGGCCAAGCCUGUUGUGCCCCUGCGCCUGUGACCCAUGCUGGGAGCAGGGGGCUUCAGGUCCUCAGGCUGCUUUAAGCCUGUUUCUCCUGGGCCCGGAGGGCUUCCUGGGGGAGAGGGUUCACAGCUUCCAGGUCCCCUCCCGCCAGUGUGAACUUGGGUGUGAAUUAAUGAAAAGCAGAUGAGCUCAAAUGUCCCUGGAAUUCCACAUGAAGUUGAAUGGUAUAAUGUAACCAGCCAUGUGUUCUUGGCGGAACCAAAAGUACUCAGAGUGUUGCUGAAGCUGCCAAGUCCUCAGAGUAGCCUAGCCUUUGCCGAAUUUGUGAUUCAUGGGAUGAAUCCCAUUUCAUGAGAUGAUGUGCUUUUCUCCACCGAGUGAAACCCUAGAGAAAAUGACCCCUAACUCUCGGCCAUUCCAGACUUAGAGAGUGGUAUAGCAUGCGGCCCCUGUUUUUAAGCCAAUAUGCUCGGACAGGAAGGGGCCAGGGUCUGCCCCAGUCGUGGUAGGAUAUUGGGCAGCCUGGACCCACGGAUCCUGGACAGAAAGAUGAAGCUCUGGGAUUGGGGAGGGAGGGGAUGGGCCAAGCAGGCCCCCAAGGGUGCAGGGCACCUGGAUGCCGACCACAUGGGUCCAUUGUUCGGAACCUCGCCCUAGCUCUCCUCUGCCUGGGCCUAAUGAGAACAGUGGUCUCUCGGCUGAGCAGGUGGACACCUGUGAACGUCAUCUCAUUACAGAUCUCAAAGGAGGGAGUCUGUGGUUCUGGGCAAGGAUGCUCCACUUCGCUUCUGUCUUCACCAAACUCUUAAAAUUUGAAAUGUAGGAAGUUAUGCCCCUGCAGGGUUCAGGAUAAAGGAAAUGACACCCAAGUCUUGGUUCUUUGUACCUGUUCCAUCCACUGGGUAUUUAGAGAAAGCAGCUUGGCAUGUAGGGUGGUCUCUGGCCCAACUUCACCCUCUUUUUUUGGUGAAGUCUGGGACUUACACAAGGACUGGCUCUUUGGCUCAGCUUUCAGACCUUGAAGGAUCCGCAAGGAAGCUUUGGUCUGGGUACAGCCCUUGAGAAGCACCUUAGAGGUGGCCAUGCCAGUGGAGAAGGUGAGGCUAAGCAAGCUCGUGAGGUCGCCCAUGGCCAGGCCAAAUGCAGGCCUGGCACUCUUUGCCCAGCAGCAGUUUGGAGUAAGUAAGGAGCUUAAUGUUUAAUGGCCUUUGUGUCAGAACAUGAUAAUGACGGUGACAGCAGGGAGGCUAGGAGGGAGUGUGGAUGGACUUCCGAGUAAGAGUUCCCCAGUGUCUCCAGGAACCACUUGCUUUGUAAAAUGACCCAAAUCCACCAUCCCUGGACCUGGCGCAGACUCUGAGUUGGGCCACGGCCUGGGAAACCUGCGUUGGAAAGUCUUUGCUUAGCCCAUAUCGUGGACUUGCUUUUGGUGCCCUGGGCUGGGGUGAGAUGUAAGUGUGUUCCUGUUGUUGUAAGAAGUUGCCUUGCCAAAAG
Piliocolobus tephrosceles (Ugandan red Colobus) is the source of this 5151-nucleotide long non-coding RNA. RefSeq lists it as uncharacterized. Lineage: Eukaryota; Metazoa; Chordata; Mammalia; Primates; Cercopithecidae. The record is from RefSeq and is a predicted model, not a curated record. The transcript has 2 exons.